Molecule: ribosomal RNA, 243 nt
Filed under: uncultured bacterium
Lineage: Bacteria
Description: partial 16S ribosomal RNA
Rfam family: Bacterial small subunit ribosomal RNA
Source: RNAcentral
CGAACCGGCGAACGGGUGCGUAACACGUGAGCAACCUACCCAGGUGUGGGGGAUAGCCGUCCCAACGGACGGGUAAUACCGCAUACGCUCUUCUUUAGGCAUUUAGGGAAGAGGAAACCUUCGGGGCACCAUGAGGGGCUCGCGGCCUAUCAGCUAGUUGGCGAGGUAACGGCUCACCAAGGCUACGACGGGUAGCUGGUCUGAGAGGAUGGCCAGCCACAUUGGGACUGAGAAACGGCCCAG